This 508-nucleotide ribosomal RNA is filed under the name uncultured bacterium. RNAcentral's name for it is "partial 16S ribosomal RNA". It matches the Rfam family "Bacterial small subunit ribosomal RNA", at positions 28 to 507 of the family's 1533-position model. The record is from RNAcentral.
GACGAACGCUGGCGGCGUGCCUAAUACAUGCAAGUCGAACGCUUCUUUCCUCCCGAGUGCUUGCACUCAAUUGGAAAGAGGAGUGGCGGACGGGUGAGUAACACGUGGGUAACCUACCCAUCAGAGGGGGAUAACACUUGGAAACAGGUGCUAAUACCGCAUAACAGUUUAUGCCGCAUGGCAUAAGAGUGAAAGGCGCUUUCGGGUGUCGUUGAUGGAUGGACCCGCGGUGCAUUAGCUAGUUGGUGAGGUAACGGCUCACCAAGGCCACGAUGCAUAGCCGACCUGAGAGGGUGAUCGGCCACACUGGGACUGAGACACGGCCCAGACUCCUACGGGAGGCAGCAGUAGGGAAUCUUCGGCAAUGGACGAAAGUCUGACCGAGCAACGCCGCGUGAGUGAAGAAGGUUUUCGGAUCGUAAAACUCUGUUGUUAGGGAAGAACAAGGACGUUAGUAACUGAACGUCCCCUGACGGUAUCUAACCAGAAAGCCACGGCUAACUACGUG